AGAAAAUAGUUACUAGGAAUGUUUUACAUUUCUAUUAAUUCUGGGUCAUUUAUGUAGUUUCUUUUAUUUUUAAAACAGUAUUAAGUAUCAUCUCUUCAAGUUGUAAUCACACUUUUGAAAUGUUAAUGAAAUAGUUCACCUCUAUCUCUUUCCCUAUCUUCUCUCUCCCUUUAAAUUCUCCUUCUCUUCUACUUUUCUUCGAUCCUUCUUUCUCUUAUUUAGUUCCCUAGUGAGUUUUUUUGCAAUUGAUAUUAGGUUUUGGUAUUAAUUAGUUUCAGAGCAUUAACCUUAGUUCUCACGGAAAACCUACUGAUGGUUUUUCAGCCUUCAUAGCUUCAAACUUGCAGGAGCAAUACGAAGAUCUUGCUGCUCAGUUAGGUGACAUGAGUGCCUUACUGGACCAACAACAUCAGAAGUUGCAUAGUGAUAUGGAUCAUAGUCGUAUGAAGCUUAUUCAACUGGUGAACUAUUUGAAUAGUUCAAUUGACGGGUACAAAUCUCACAAAAGGUAAAUGAUAUUUCGGUGACCUCAUCUGCUAAGACAACGACUCUUACUCAGGAAACCAUUUAAGAUGUUAAAAAUAAUUCUCGAGAUCAAAACAAGGCCAAAUGAAGUGUGAAAGGCAGCCACAAAGUGUGGAACUUAAAGACA
Capsicum annuum is the source of this 652-nucleotide long non-coding RNA. RefSeq lists it as uncharacterized. NCBI's taxonomy places the organism in Eukaryota, Viridiplantae, Streptophyta, Magnoliopsida, Solanales, Solanaceae. The transcript is spliced from 2 exons. The record is from RefSeq and is a predicted model, not a curated record.